Molecule: non-coding RNA, 949 nt
Filed under: Zebrasoma desjardinii (Desjardin's sailfin tang)
Lineage: Eukaryota; Metazoa; Chordata; Actinopteri; Acanthuriformes; Acanthuridae
Description: 12S ribosomal RNA
Rfam family: Bacterial small subunit ribosomal RNA
Source: RNAcentral
CAAAGGUUUGGUCCUGACUUUACUAACAACUUUAUCUGAACUUACACAUGCAAGUAUCCGCACCCCCGUGAGAAUGCCCCACAGUUCCCCGCCCGGGAACAAGGAGCUGGUAUCAGGCACACUCUCCCGUUAGCCCAUGACACCUUGCUUAGCCACACCCUCAAGGGAACUCAGCAGUGAUAAACAUUAAGCCAUAAGUGAAAACUUGACUUAGUUAAAGCUAAGAGGGUCGGUAAAACUCGUGCCAGCCACCGCGGUUAUACGAGAGACCCAAGUUGUUAGACACCGGCGUAAAGAGUGGUUAAGUACCCUUACUUACUAAAGCCGAACACCUUCAAAGCUGUUAUACGCACCUGAAGACAGGAAGUUCAAUCACGAAAGUGGCUUUAUACCAACUGAACCCACGAAAGCUAGGGUACAAACUGGGAUUAGAUACCCCACUAUGCCUAGCCUUAAACAUCGAUGACAUUUUACAACUGUUAUCCGCCCGGGUACUACGAGCAUCAGCUUAAAACCCAAAGGACUUGGCGGUGCUUUAGAUCCACCUAGAGGAGCCUGUUCUAGAACCGAUAACCCCCGUUCAACCUCACCCUUCCUUGUUUAUCCCGCCUAUAUACCACCGUCGUCAGCUUACCCUGUGAAGGUUUAAAUAGUAAGCAAAAUUGGCACAGCCCAAAACGUCAGGUCGAGGUGUAGCGUAUGGAAGGGGAAGAAAUGGGCUACAUUCCCUAACCCAGCGCAUACGGACGACACAUUGAAACACGUAUCCGAAGGAGGAUUUAGCAGUAAGCAGAAAAUAGAGCGUUCCGCUGAAACCGGCCCUGAAGCGCGCACACACCGCCCGUCACUCUCCCCGAGCUUACAUUUUUUUAUAAAUAAAACCUCAUAACUGCAAAGGGGAGGCAAGUCGUAACAUGGUAAGUGUACCGGAAGGUGCACUUGGAAAAAU